This 500-nucleotide ribosomal RNA is filed under the name uncultured Glomus. RNAcentral's name for it is "SSU rRNA". It matches the Rfam family "Eukaryotic small subunit ribosomal RNA", at positions 591 to 1092 of the family's 1831-position model. The record is from RNAcentral. Lineage: Eukaryota; Fungi; Glomeromycota; Glomeromycetes; Glomerales; Glomeraceae.
CCAAUAGCGUAUAUUAAAGUUGUUGCAGUUAAAAAGCUCGUAGUUGAAUUUCGGGGUUAGUAGGUUGGUCAUGCCUCUGGUAUGUACUGGUCUCACUGUUUCCUCCUUCCUGAUGAACCUUAAUGCCAUUAAUUUGGUGUUAUGGGGAAUCAGGACUGUUACUUUGAAAAAAUUAGAGUGUUUAAAGCAGGCUCACGCUUGAAUACAUUAGCAUGGAAUAAUGAAAUAGGACGUUUGAUUCUAUUUUGUUGGUUUCUAGGAUCGACGUAAUGAUUAAUAGGGAUAGUUGGGGGCAUUAGUAUUCAAUUGUCAGAGGUGAAAUUCUUGGAUUUAUUGAAGACUAACUACUGCGAAAGCAUUUGCCAAGGAUGUUUUCAUUAAUCAAGAACGAAAGUUAGGGGAUCGAAGACGAUCAGAUACCGUCGUAGUCUUAACCAUAAACUAUGCCGACUAGGGAUCGGAUGAUGUUAAUUUUUUAAUGACUCAUUCGGCGCCUUACG